GUCCCCAGCAUCUUUGACAUCCCCGAAAAAGAAGCGGGCUCACCGGGAAGCGUCAUCAAAUAUCAGUCAUGCUACCAUUAAAUGAUCAUGAACGAGCGUAUACGACAAGCCAGGAACAUCAACGGCGGUGAACGUCAGCGAUGUUCACACAGUGUGCGAGGCCCAUGAGCUUGACAAAAAUCAGCCUGGUAAUAUGCUCAAAGAAAUCGAAGGCAUGUUUGCCUUCGACGAAUGCCAGCAGCGCUUACAGCAAUCCAGUCAAAGUCAUCGCGUGGGUGAAAAAACAGGGCCGCCUACAACCGCAAGCUACAGGUUACCUAAUUAUAGCGGUCACCGAAAAGAAUGCGUUUUAUUUUUUACUGUGCUCAAAUGGUUCAGGCGUAGCAUCGAUCGCUGUCCAGGCUGUCAGCGCUGAAGAGGCGCGCGUGACUGCCUUGUGCCAGGCGCGCGGGGGCCGAAUGCAAGCAAUACGCGCGACUGGUUGCCUUGGCAGCCGAACCAGCGGUAAUUUCUUUCUCGGCCGCCAGGUACCGCCAGCAUGAAAGUGGCUCCGCGGGCUUGUGACCUUUUCUGGUCGCCGCAAACAGCGGAGUUUCCACUCCUAAAUGUUUUUUGCUCCGUGUCCCCGAGUGACGCAGCAUAUGCUCCAUUAUGUUAUGUUCACUAUGGCUAGGAUGAAAGUUACAUUUAUGCUGCAGUUUCAUGUUUGUAUCGAGCACAGUUGACAACCUGAAGUAUUUUGAAAUGUAUUAGAAAAACAUAACAGUUUACGAAUUCAAAGACCAAAUCGAAGAGGACAACAUUCAAUUUGUUAUUUGAAUGUUUUGAAUAUUCGCACACCCUGUAAAAAAAGGAAUAGAAAUGAAUGAAAGACAUUACAUUCUACUGCUGCUGGAAAUGGUGGCUGCAUUCUGAAAGGGGCAGGAUGCAAAAGCAGCUGUGUACUUGAACACAUAGGUGCACAUUUGAGAACCCCAAUUUGGCAAAGCUAGUUUCAAGCAAUUCAUUAUGAUGCCGUCAUUGUCCUAUUGUCAGUUUUUCAACAUGGCAGCACUGAAGGAUUUUUGAGCAAGUUAUAGGUUCUGUCAUUUUCAAGACAUCGCACAGAUUUGCAAAUUGUUGGCACUAAGUCCCAAAUAACAAUGCUACACAAUGCUUUGAUUUAUGCAAGUGCAGUAAAUGUAUUUGUAUUACAUGUGCCUUUUCAUUUUAAUACUUGGGUGUACCGAAGAUAGUUAAAUUUUUUUUUGACAACUUCUGUUAGACAAACUCAUAUCAGACAAACAUAUAUUCUUGGUCCUUUCGAAUUUGUAUUAGGAAAAGUCUACUGCACAUGAUGUGAACUUUGUGCAGCGCUGCCACCUACGUAAUAACUGCAGUUUGCCCAUAUUGCUACCUCAUGGUGAACUGUGCGGAGUAUCAUGGAGGUAUUUAAUAGUCGCAAGGUGGUAGCUUGUGCUCAGUCGGUCCUUGUAACUCAUACCUACGUUACCCUUCUGAAUGAGAAGCAUAAACUUUGUUGUGCACUGUUGGAUCACUACACAGCAGACCUGUAUUUUGAGAGUUUCUUGAUUUUUUAGUCCCUUUCAGCAGCUGUCUAGGAGGCAACAUAUUACUUUGCUUGCAUUAGGGGAAUUAUUUUGAAUUCUAGUUUUGACAUAAUCAAGCAUUUGCAGAUUGAAUACACCCACUGGCAGACUCUGUGAGAAGACUGGCAGACUCUGUGAGAAGGACCCACUUAUGCAGAAGCGAUGGGAAGCAAAAUGCAGUGCUGGGGCUUUUGCCAGCCGCCAUUUUCACAACUACAUGCUGGACCCAUUCUGUUUUUGCUUGCUGAGAAGUUUAGAAAUUCAUAAGCAGGCUUUCCCCGUAAACAUAAUUAUGAUCAUUGUUUAAAGAGGUCCUGAAACACAUUUGUUAAAAAUCUGAGCAAUACUCUGGAAUGAGUACAACACCUUUAAAGAUAUAUAUAUUCCCGAAGAAAUUUCUGAAGAGGACCUAAUAUGAAUGAGUGAAACCUUUGAGAUCUGAAACUGAAGUCCCCCUCAACUCAUCAGUUCCUCUAGCUGUGGUAACACUAAGGGUGCCUAUCUCUUCUCUCUUUUUUAUUCUUCUUUCCAAGGUGUGCUCAUGGCCCUCCGAGGCUGGCAUCUGACAAAGGCGCCUCAAAGAAGUGACAUGAUAGAUCGGAUGCAUUCAUUAUGGCCACUUCCCCAUUUCAUAGAAAUCUGGAAAGGUGCAGUGCAUGCGUAUACCCAAUGGCAACUUAGGUCACCGGGUUGUCCAUGGCCUAAUAGUAGAGCAAUGGGCUGCGGGGUGUAGGGAACCUGGUUUGAAUCUAACCAACAUACGAACUUGGUGUCACUGCAUAUGUGCACCGCUCUUCAAUAGACUUCGUUGACACCAGCUUCGGUCACUGGGUAUGGAUUGUUCUUCAAUGAACUUCCUUGCACAACUUGGGUCACUGGUUAUGUUCGACUGGGUACAUGCCGCUCGUCAAUCAACCUAUUUGACGCCAACUUGGAUCACUGGGUAUGUUCUUCUCUUUAAUGACAAAAGUGAUCCCUUGAAAUUUUUUCAGUGCUGGGCGGAAUUGAACCCGCAUCAUAUAUAUUUAGACAUGCGUCAUGAGCGGACUUCAUUGUGCUGCUGCUAGAUGGCACAGCAUGUCCAGACAGCACACGCUGUAUACGUGGCGCGUUUCGGCGAUGGCAACAUGACGUAUCAGCACAUUGCUUCGCUGUUAAUCGCAUCAAUGCUGACAGUGAUGCAGAGAUGGUUUUCGCCAGAAUUUUUUUCACCUGGAUAAUGCAAAUGUGGUUAAGCCAAAUUUCCACUGCUGCCUAUGAUGCCUGUCAUUGGGCUCAGCGGGGGUAGCAGAAGGCCCAUGUUGGUAGACUUUCAGGAGGGGACUCUGCUAGCUGCAUGAGAAGCUAAUGGUGUUUUUGUGGGGGUGCCAAAUGAUGAGAUGAAAACGUGCAGGGUUGAUAAUUAUGGUAAGACAUUGCCCUGCAGCCACAAGAACCAGCGGAGUCGACAUAUGAUGUAGCUGAUAGCACCCUGAAUACCAUGGUGCAAUUUUUCAUCACUAAAGCACUAAAGAAUUUUGAGCAAACUAGGCAAAAUGUCAGCACUAAUGACAGCGUACAGGUCCCCAUAGAGUGCCAGCAAGCAACGAUAACUCAAUAUGCAAGAAUGCAUAAAGCAAUACUUUGCAUUAUGCAAAUACAAUAGAUGGCUUUAUUAAAUCUGGCUUUUAGCUUUAUUGAUGUCGCAUGUAUAUUUUGUGCCAUGAAUACCUGGGUGCAUCAGGAAUACUCGAUUUUUAGUUUUGUGGAUGAACUUUAUUAAGAGGAAAUUUUUUAUGGUCCCUUCCAAGUUUAUCUUAGCGGGAGUGUACAGUAGUAUGUUUUAUAGCUAUAGUUGCUCUGGCCCAGCACAACCAGUUCUGGGCCCAAGCAAUCACUACAAAAUAUUAUUGCAAUACCAGUUGAAACAGUGUGAAUUGAAAGUUCAGCUUCCUAUAACAUAGAUCAAUAUAAAAAAAAUUGCUGGCUCUCCCAUAAUCGAGAGUAGAUGUAAGCGUGAAAUGGCAACUGGCAAAGCAGACUGGUUGGAGAUGAUACUAGCCACAAUCUUAAGAUGGCUGUAGUACAUGUUCGCAAUGGCACACCACACCACACCAUGCCAUUUGCGCACUGGUCCAUUGGACGCUGCUCAGCUAGAAGAAGAAAACCGGCUGAAGUCGGCACGACAGGCAGCGAAAGACGCCAGGGAGACAGAGUGCAUUGCUCAGCUAGAAGAAAGAAAAUUGUCUGAAGGAGGUGCCACAAAACCUGCAUCACGGAACUCAUGAACCACUGACCUUCAAAAGAGCAUAGGCAACCCUGUCUCAGCACGAAAAGAUGACAAUGAAGUGUAUGGUGCCCUGUAUCUGCCUUUUGAAGGUUGCUAUUGUAAAUCAGAAAUAAAACUUCAGCGUAGAAGAAGUUACAGCUUGAGUGAUAUUGUGAACAAACAUUAGGAAGUACUCGGAAGCAAUAUUUUUUGUAACUUGUUUGGCCAGUAACUAGCAUGUGUAAUGCAGUCAUUUACAAAGGGUUGCGGGCCAGAGACCGCAGUUUCUCAAGUUUUGAAUGGUUGCCCCGAUGUUCUCGUUCGAGCGCCUGGAUAACAGCUCUGGCUUUUAGCUCAAGGUCAUUUCGAGGUCGCCGAUAACAGCAGCUAAAAGCAUUUCAUGCUUAAAAAAAACCAUACACUCAAGCUUGUGUGCCGAAGGAAAGCUAAUAAACAAGAAGCAGAGGCACAUCAUAAACAUUUAGAUUACAUUAUUUUGUUCAUUACACUUACCUUGUUCCAUAUUUUUGUCCUGAUGCAGGCUACUGUGAGCCUACUGUAAAGGUCAUUAGCAGUUGGGACAUUAAAACAUCUCUUCAAUUCUGUCUCUUUGGGAUUAAGUGGUGCCACGAAAAUGGUGCUUGAAAGGGUGUUAUUGUCGAAUAUUAUAUAAUGAAUAGUACGGACCAUUUUUAGUUUCUGGCAAGUAAAGAAUGUAAAAAUGUUUUAUUGAUAAGGGGUGCUGUCUGCUUUGUAUACCUAAAGAAUGAUAAUCUGGAGUACUCUUUUCUCAGCUUAAUUGCAGGAUCAAGACAAAUUGAAUAAGACUACCCCCUGUUGAAAUAUAUAAUUCUUCACAUGCACGUAGAAAAUAUUACGGAUGUGCCUGAUAAAAAGUAAAUCAUGCAUCACAGAGCCUGCUGCAAACAUUCCUGGUUGGCAAAGAUGAGGCGUGGAAAGCCACUUGGAGAUCGUCUACGUAUACAGAGACGAUGAUGUUAAACAGAGGCAGUAUGGAUACAUGUGAGUAAUUUUCAUAAUUUCCAACUUUUCAAACAAAGGCAGAGAUGGGUGAUCUCGAGGAACACAGAGAACAUGUCGCAACAUUCUUUUCUGCAUUGUAAGAAUUUUACGUAAAUUUGUAACAGUCAUAGUUCCCCAAACUAAAUGUGCAUAACUAAUAUGAGAGUGAAAUAAUGCAUUGUAAAGAAUAACCUUGAACUGCACAGGCAGCAUCUCUUUAUUAAUGUACGUAACUCCUACGACACUUGAAAUCUUAGAAACAUGUUCCACGUGGUCUUCCCACGUUAAGUUCUCAUUGAACACAACGCCAAGAAUUUUGAAUGCACGGAGUAUUUCUAUUUUUGAAUCACCUAACAAAAGAUCUGUAUUUAUAAGAACGCUCUUAUUUCUCGGGCGGAAAAGUAUGGCUUUCAUCUUGGCUGUGUUUAAUUUUAAUGCAUUAGCACUUGACCACUCAUGCAAAUGCAAUAGUGAGCUAUUUGCUUCAGAAAUGAGGUCAUUUAGACAUGCAGCUGAGAAAAGCAUAGUCAUGUCAUUGGCAUAAAUGAUAUGUUUAAUCUUCCGAUUAAUACAUAUAAUGUCAUACAAAUAGAUAUUAAAUAAAAGUGGUCCAAGGAUACUUCCCUGAGAUACUCCUGAUGUUAUUUUGUCUGAAGAGAAACCAUUGAGGUAGACAUAUUGUUGUCGAUUUUCUAAAUAAGAUGCUAAUAGUGCUAGUGCAUUACCAUGGAUUCCAUAUGUAUCUAAUUUUUUUUAGUAAGAUCAAAUGUUUAAGAAAAUCAAACGCUCUUGUGAAGUCUACAAAAACACCCUGUGCUACUUCUUUUUUACAAAGGAGAUUAAAAUAAAUUCUUUCUGCUCCAGUUAAGCCUGUUCCAUCGACCUGUGUUUACGGAAGCCAAAUUCAUUAUUUUGGUUUAAAUUACUUUUUCCAGUCCUUUAGCGAAAAUAGGGAGUAUGGACACGGGUCUGUAAUUUCCAAUGUCAUUUUUAUCACCCUUUUUAUAGAGCACUGUCACCCUAGCAACCUGCAAUCGUUUCGGAAACACUCCCUGUAAAAAACACAGAUUAAAUAUGUGAUUUAGGCACGGUGAAAUUAGCAAUUACAUGUUUGACAGGUGCAACUUUUAUAUCGUCUGCGUCGCUGCUUUUACUGUCAUUUAGUCCUCGGAAUGCCGAAAUGAACGCCGAACGCCUUGAUAAUGCCCAUCAAGCUGCCAUCCUUUCCAGCUCACUGUUACGUCCUUUUUCUCACCCCCACAGUGUGUGGGUCGCUCCUUCAUAUGGCUUUCGGGCUUUAUACGGAACAUCAUGAUGACGACAACAGCGAAAAUUUGCCUGGAGUUUCAAUAUAAUUUCCAUUGCAAAUCGCAAUAAAAUAAUAAAAAAAAAAUUUAAAAACUUGCGUCGAGCUCAUUUCUACUGUGGCUGUGGAUGUCACAAUGUGCCCCGGUUACAAGCCCCGGUUACAAACACAGCACGAGUACCAGCGACAAAGCCAACAGUGGGCAAGUCGCUUAUCGGUACUUCACCAGAGCCCAUCUGACACUGAAAGGGAAGCGUAUUUUCCACCGUAUAAGCAUCAGUGGCUACAUGACACUAGGCGCACAGCGAGACGUCACAUGCAAUCCACACUGUUCCUACUCGCUCUCGUGCCCUUUCGUGCUUCGGAGAUAUUGCUGUAUCUUAUUUAUGGAUUUAUUUGUUAACACGGUUGUUUAUUUGUUUGCCUGAUGAUUUAUUGCUCUAUAAUCCUUUAUUCCGGCGCCGGGAAAUAAACGGACCCAAUGGCAUAAGGCAUGCUAUGACAAGUAAUGAAACCUGCGUUAUGGAGUCAGACUGCUUUAUGGUAACAAUUCUAGCCAUAAAUUGUUAUAUAUAAGCCGUAAUUUUUAUAUAUGUUAUGUCUCAUCUUCUCAACUGACCUAUCGGCAGGAAAAUAUUUCUUGAUUGUAUCUUUUGUAUCUUUGUGUGCAUAUAUACAGUGAAAGCUCAUUAAUUUGAACUUCAAUAAUUCGAAUUUAUGGAUAAUUCAAACUGUACGAUUUGGUCCGGUCAAGCUCCACAGAAGUCUAUGCAUAAAUAAGCCCAUUAAUUCGAACGUGAGAAGGUUCCGCCACGGAUAAUUCAAACUACGUGCCGGCGGCUUGACGCCUGGCAGAUGGCCAGAGAAAUGCGCCUACUGCCUACAAACAAGGCUGCGUUGCCUCCGGAACGAGAAAAAUCUAACCAGCGCGGGGUCGGCCAGAAAGCAGCGGCGGCUGCCUCCUCUCUGUUCUACGUUGACCUCCGAGACUUCUUGCCCGUCGCAAAUCUCGGGGGGCUUUGCAAAUCUCAUUUGCUGACUAUGUGGACGUGGACGAGAGUGCAGUGGUGUGUAGAGCGCUGACAGAUGAGGACAUAAUUUCUCAGGUCAGAAGCGUUCAACCUGUCGCUGCCAGUGACGACGAGGUGGAGGAAGACGAAGCGCCAGUGCGGCCCUCCGCUGCAGAGGUCAUGGCUGGAUUGAAUGCCGCCCGCCUCUUCUUCAGUUUUGAAGAAGGCGAAGAGGAGGCCUUCCGCCACAUUCGCGCAUUAGAGCAAAAAGCGCUAGCUGUCGCCUUCAAGGAAAAAAGGCAGACUACGAUCACGGACUUUUUCAAGCAUUAAAUUUCUGACAUGCCCUACUGCUUCCAAAUCACAGUGUACUGUUGUUCUCCUUCACUUUCGUUAGUUCGAACUGAAGCGGCUUCCCCUUGCGGUUCGAAUUAACGAGCUUUUACUGUAUAUAUAAUAAAGAAAAAGAGAGUACGACAUAUGUUGGAUUUGCACAGUAUAUUUCACUGACAUUUCGGCUGGUGGAUCAGCCUUUGUCAAUGUUUCGGCUGGUCCACCAGCCGAAACGUCAUUGAAAUUACUGUGCAAAUCCAACGUACGCUGUACUCUCUUUUUGUUCAUUUUACUAAAGGGCCAGCGUAAUUUCCUCAGCCAGAACUAUAUAUAUGGGGGUGGUUCGGAAAAAGCCAUUCUAGCCUCCUUUAUACAGGUUUCUGCGUUUAUAGCCAUUUCUCAAGACUAUAGAAAACUUUUGUUAGUAUGGAUUAUCUGAAAAGCAAUCCUACGUUUUCUUGAACUAUUUACACGAACACUCACUACGUAUAGCAGUUUCAUGAACAUUUCACCUGUGUAUGAACUUCCCAGUCAUUUUCUAUGCCUAUUUGCUCAAAAGCAGCCUAUUUAUCCAAAGGACUUAACAAUGAAUGUUCGACAAUGUAGAGUUAACAGCAAAAGCUUGCGGACCCCAUGAGUGCAUGCCCAACCCCCUUUCUGCCGUUUCAAGUAGCGCUAGGCUAGAAAUAUGUCCUUGUGUUGCUCGAUUUUCUUGCUGCUGCACAAGGCUUUUCUAUUUCUCUUUGUCAUGCAACGCACUCUUCAGCAGCCGUGACAAUGUGCUACCUCAACAGUAAUAUCACUGGAACCAAUAUCAGCCACGUGCCACUGGGCUGGUACCAGCAUCAGCCACGUGCCACUGGGCUGAUACCAAUAUCAGCCACGUGCCACUGGGCUGAUAUCAGUGCAUGCUGCUGGGUUAGGAACUUGAGAAUAAGGAAGUAAAAAAACGUCACACAACCCAGGAAAACUAACACACCUGAAAAGGAAGGGAAAAAAAUAAAUAAGAGGACACAUCUCCAGCCUAGCAGUUCUCUUGACGGUAGAGGUAUUGCGGAGAGGCAGCUGGGCAGUCACACAUGGUUUGGAAAUCUUUGUGGUUGACUGUACCUACAGAAUUUGGCACCAGUAUUAUCAAACAACGAGUGACAAGCUGCAGCAAGGAGUCCAUGCUUGCUAUAUUAGACAUGCAAUGAAAACUUAACGCAGUGUGGUGAGUGAAGCACAUGAGGCCAAGAAUGUGUGGCUGUGAGUGCAGCUCUUCAGAAAAGAUGACGAAGAGAACCAAGCACAAGGACACGUGCAGCAAGACAAAAAUAAAAGCAAAGGAAGCCAAUUGUGGAAGCUAACGAAGCCCCACCAAACGAUCGGAGAAACACAUGAGGCCUAAGGAAAAUAAAAAGAUGAAGUGCAUUGUAGAACAGGGGUGGAGUUCCAGGAAGCGAUUCAGGAAGGUCGGCCACCGAACCAGGAGCUGAAUACAGCCCACGGGCUGUCAGAUUCUUCUAAAUGACAGCCUGUGAUGUGUAGCUUUUAUUGCUUCAUGUGAUAUCGUAUUUUCCUGGUUAAGUAGAGGUUGUUGGUUCUGUGUUUGCAUCUUAAAGUCAUGAAGGACGAAGUGUCUGGCAGUUUCCCAAGAUGUCUUCAGUGCUCUAGGUGAUGAACAGCUAGCCAGCAUAAAAGAAAUUGUGAAAGUAUUGACUUACAUGUCGGGAAAGCUCGCAUCUGCAGCAGGCAUAAGGAAUGAUGCUGGUCGAACUAGUGGCCGGCGAGAGCCAUUGAAUUUCAUUAAUGAGGGUUUCGAGCACUUCAAAAAAGAAGUCGACGACUUCUGAUGUGAACUUGCUGAGGUGAAGGUGCAUAGUCCCCAACAAAAAGCGAGCUAGCAACUUCACAAUCAACUGAAAUUGGUGAAAGCCAAACUGAUUGAACUCAAACAACAUAUAGUAAGGGCAUGUACACUGAAAUCGGGGUCCUUCCCAUCAUUCCAAAGGCGAUCUUAGAGCGGCCAUGAAUAACAUAGCAAGCUGUCUUGGGAUCCCCGUUCCUGAGAAUGACAUUGCUGUUAUGCAUCGGGUGCCAUCCAAGGAUAAGGCUAAACCUAAUGAGGUGGUAAAAUUCUUAAGAAGAAAAUCUCGUAAGAAAAUUUGAAGUGCAGCUAGGAAGAUGAAGCUUAACACCAGUUGCUUCGGGCUUGCAGGUGAUGACCCGACUUGCAUAAAUGAGCACUUUUGUCCCGAGAAUAAGGAUCUCCUUGGAAAGGCUCGUCUUUCGAGAUUGGAGUGCAAGUGGAAGUUUGUCUGGGUAUCCAGGGGCACGAUUAUCAUGUGCAACGCAGAAAAUUCACCAGUGCUGUGUGUUACGUAUGAAGAUGACAUAGCAAAUCCGGUGAAACAAAAAAGCAUUCAGCCGAGUGUUCCCUCCCAAAUUCAUAAUGCCGUACAAUUUUGUUUAAAGUAACGAUACCCCUACAAUAUUUCAUUGCAACAUUCGCAGUUUUAAAAAAAUUUGGGUUCCUUGAUCUCUUGUAUACACGAGAUGAUUUUGAUUAUGAUAUUGUAGCUGUCAGCGAAACUGGGCUCAAAUGAAACUAAUCAAUUCCUAUACAGAGUUACAAACUGCAGUUGCUACCUCAUGACUUAUGUUCCCAAGGUGGAGGCACAGGCCUUUUGUGAAGGCUGAGAAGGCUUACCAGGUUCUAACGUUGCAAUGUGCUUGUAAUGAUAUAUUGGAGGCUUUGUUCAUAAAAAUUAGUCGCGGUCCAAUAGUAGGGGUCGUUUAUUGCCCCCCGAGCUCAUCAGCACAAUCCUUUCUCGAGUAGCUUGAGGCUGCCCUUGAAGACUUGUCUCAUGGUCAUUGCAACUACAUCGUGAGAGUCGGCCGCAUUAAUAUUGACAUGUCCUAUGAUAACUACACUAAUUAUAGCCUUCUAUUGCAACCAUUUAACCUGGAAAAUUUUAUAACAGAGGCAACACAUGUCACGAGUACUUCUAGUACACUGAUUGAUCAUGCCUUUUUCAAAUGUGAAAAUGAUGUGUAUGCGGGCAUUUAUACUAUUCCCAUAACAGAGGGCGCCCAUCUUUGUUGUUAUUGAUAAGUGUUUGCAUUUUGAUGUCGUACAGUUUCGUUCUAAUGCAUUCAUGCACGAAGAUAGAUUACACUGUUCGGGAAAAGCUAGAAUGAAUAGACUUUUCCAUGUUUUAUGACAAUGUUAACAGAGAAUAUGAGACGUUUGUUGAUGCGCUCACAUCUGCUGUACUAGAAAUCUCUCGUAAGAAUUUAUGUGGUCAGUAUGAGAAGCCUGUCUGCCCAUGGAUGACUCUUUUGUAAAACAACGAAUACUAUUACAGUGAAAAAACAAUGAUUACUAUUACAGUAGUUUCCAAACUUUCCAAAAUGAACUGGCAUCCACAAUCUUCCACAACAGAAACAAAAGAGUAUUACAGCCAGCUUAUGAAACAAGCAAGUGGAAAUACAAUUAAACCCCUUUAUAAUGAUAUCAGUCUUAACAAUGAGAAGCUACUGCACCACCAAAUUUUGUGUUUUUCAUGGUGAAAUAACCCACUUACUACAAUGGUCUAAUGCUGCAUUAUCGGUCAUUACGAUAAAGCCGUGCCGAAAAGUAGUGAAAUGCAAAAUCCUAAAAAAAAAAAAAAAAAACCAGAUAACAGACAGACAGACAGACUAGAUAGAUAGAGAAAUUCGAGCCACUGAACAAUGGCCCGCUGCCGCAACAGCCACUGCGCGCUCAUUUUCCAGCCUUCUCUGUGCGCCUCUCUCUCGUCGCUUUUCCACGCCUCCGAACAUGAGUGGGCCGAGCCCUUAGCUCUAUGCCGCGCCACCCUCUUAAACACGUAUGGACCGCACCAACUGUGCUGCUCCCAGGUUGCUCGCUGGUUCCUCAUUCAGCGCAGUUCUGCAAACAGCUUAAUCGCUCAUGUUCAUCAUAGUUGGUUGUGUCGAAAUCCUUUCUGGCCACGCAGUUUCUCAGCCUCGUUUGACUCGCCGCCGAAACGGAAGAUGGCUGAUCCGCCCGCUGAUCAUUGGCAAUGCACGACGUUGCCGGUGAAAAGAAAGCGCACGGCUAUAAAUUUGGAAGCUAAGUGCUUCUAACCGAUGAGGCGAUCGUUGCGAAUGAGCUUGCAUCGGAUAACGACGGCGACAAUGGCAGUGAUGUGUGUACACAGUAGGGCAGGCUACCUCAACGUUGUUCUCACAGGAGGCCCAGCAGAUGAUUCAGUCCCCUCCUGGUGCUUCGUUUUCACGAGGAACCUUCCGCUGCACUACACGGAGUACCUGGAUGCCUUGGAGAAGGACGUCACCAAGCUUCGCGUAAAGCAUGCAAUGCUGAUGGACAUAGGGUUGUCUCGUGCAAGCCAGUGAAAAGUACGCGGCGAGAUGCUUGUGGUGAUCUCGCCUCAGCGUUUCUUUCGGAUUUCUCAAGCUGAUAGGCUGCCGCGGCAACCUUCUCGC
Long non-coding RNA from Dermacentor andersoni, 11982 nucleotides. RefSeq lists it as uncharacterized. Lineage: Eukaryota; Metazoa; Arthropoda; Arachnida; Ixodida; Ixodidae. The record is from RefSeq and is a predicted model, not a curated record.